AGGACGAACGCUGGCGGCGUGCUUAACACAUGCAAGUCGAACGGAAAGGCCCGCUUGCGGGUACUCGAGUGGCGAACGGGUGAGUAACACGUGGGCAACCUGCCCUCAGCUCUGGGAUAACUCCGGGAAACCGGUGCUAAUACUGGAUAUCGACUUCUGCCUCGCAUGGGGUGUUGUUGAAAGUUUUUCGGCUGGGGAUGGGCCCGCGGCCUAUCAGCUUGUUGGUGGGGUGAUGGCCUACCAAGGCGACGACGGGUAGCCGGCCUGAGAGGGCGACCGGCCACACUGGGACUGAGACACGGCCCAGACUCCUACGGGAGGCAGCAGUGGGGAAUAUUGCGCAAUGGGCGGAAGCCUGACGCAGCGACGCCGCGUGAGGGAUGACGGCCUUCGGGUUGUAAACCUCUUCAGCAGGGACGAAGCGAAGUGACGGUACCUGCAGAAGAAGCACCGGCCAACUACGUGCCAGCAGCCGCGGUAA
RNAcentral lists this ribosomal RNA (481 nucleotides) under uncultured bacterium. RNAcentral describes it as "SSU rRNA". It matches the Rfam family "Bacterial small subunit ribosomal RNA", at positions 26 to 523 of the family's 1533-position model. The record is from RNAcentral.